Long non-coding RNA from Schistocerca nitens (vagrant locust), 483 nucleotides. RefSeq lists it as uncharacterized. Lineage: Eukaryota; Metazoa; Arthropoda; Insecta; Orthoptera; Acrididae. The transcript has 3 exons. The record is from RefSeq and is a predicted model, not a curated record.
GAUGGUAGAGGAAUCACUCGUGGAAAAAUUCCUGUAGUAGUUGGUGUUAGAGGUGCACAUUUUUUAGCUUGAAGUCAGCUGACAAGUAUACUUGCCUAAAGGAUGUCCCUCUAACAAAGGAAUCACCUUCAGAGGUGGUCAGGUAUCCAAGGAGAGAACUUCAUCAAAAUAUAUGAGUUUUUAUCAAACACCUGCUCUGUGUUAUAUAAGAGCUCAUUGAAUUUCGUGUGUAUGUUUGUAUUUGUUUGUGUGUCUGUCGACCUGCCAGCACUUUCAUUUGAUAUCUGAAGAUGGAAAUAAUUCCAAAAUGUGUCAAUUUUGAUCAAUAAAAUCAUUCUUCACAUGGUGUAUUAUGACUUUUUAUGUAGGGUGACCAGACAUCCGGAUUAAUCCAGACAUGUCCUCCUUUUUAGCUCUUUGUCUGAGGUCCGGGCGGAUUUUUACAGUGUCCGGCUUUUUCAAGUUGAGCGUAAUACAGUUAAA